GAACAAGUCCUGUGAGAAGGCCUCUUCUGC
Molecule: non-coding RNA, 30 nt
Filed under: Rattus norvegicus (Norway rat)
Lineage: Eukaryota; Metazoa; Chordata; Mammalia; Rodentia; Muridae
Source: RNAcentral